CACGUAGGGUGCGAGCGUUGUCCGGAAUUAUUGGGCGUAAAGAGCUCGUAGGCGGUGUGUCGCGUCGGCCGUGAAAACCUGCAGCUUAACUGUGGGCUUGCGGUCGAUACGGGCAUCACUGGAGUUCGGCAGGGGAGACUGGAAUUCCUGGUGUAGCGGUGAAAUGCGCAGAUAUCAGGAGGAACACCCGUGGCGAAGGCGGCUCUCUGGUACGUGACUGACGCUGAGACGCGAAAGCGUGGGGAGCAAACAGG
This 254-nucleotide ribosomal RNA is filed under the name uncultured bacterium. RNAcentral's name for it is "partial 16S ribosomal RNA". It matches the Rfam family "Bacterial small subunit ribosomal RNA", at positions 524 to 776 of the family's 1533-position model. The record is from RNAcentral.